RNAcentral lists this unclassified non-coding RNA (1893 nucleotides) under uncultured fungus. Its description in RNAcentral is "sequence contains 18S rRNA gene, ITS1, 5.8S rRNA gene, ITS2, 28S rRNA gene". The stretch from base 666 to 1893 matches the Rfam family "Eukaryotic large subunit ribosomal RNA", at positions 1 to 961 of the family's 3401-position model. The record is from RNAcentral. Lineage: Eukaryota; Fungi.
GGAUGGAUCAUUAACGUAGUAAUAACGCAAGUUAUUAUAUAACAUAUGUUAACCCUUGUGGUGAAAUAGUUUGUUGUUGUUUGGUAGGAUUAUACAUGUAUAUAGUAAUAUAUAUAUGUACAUGACUGCCGACAUCAUUUAUAAAACCUUUUUAUUACAUUGUACUAAUGCUAUCUUGUGAUGAGAUUAGGGGUAACUCUAUGAUUAUACCAAGUAAAACAAUUAUAACCAAAUACAAUUGCUAGCAACGGAUCACUCGGCUCUCGCGUCGAUGAAGAACGUAGCGAACUGCGAAAAUUAAUGCGACCCGCAACACGUGAGUCAUCGAGUCUUUGAACGCAUAUUGCACCCGACGGGCUCGCUCGUCGGGUCUGCCUGUCUGAGUAUCAGUACGGACCCAAUUAAUACUUAAAGGCGUUAAAACCUGAAAGUGUUAUGUUGGUGCUCGUUGAUUUUAUACAUUUAUGUUUAUUAUUGACGGAUGUGAGCGUCCGGUUAAUAACCUCGGUUAUAUACCCGGUCACUUGAAAUGCAUCAGUACGAUUCUGUUGAUCGUCAACCCGUUAGCAUUGUUGAUCAUCUUUUGAUGUUCUUUGCUUAUCCACGGAGACACUAAACAGCGUACUAAGCGUAAUUACCCGUAUGUUUUGCAUACUCACCCAUCUUGAUCUCAGAUCAGGCAGGAUGACCCGCUGAACUUAAGCAUAUCAGUAAGCGGAGGAAAAGAAACUAACCAGGAUUCCCUUAGUAACGGCGAGUGAAGCGGGAAUAGCCCAAUUUGAAAAGCUGGUCGGCCCCGGUGCCGGUCCCGCAUUGUAAAUUGAUGGGGCGUUACCUAGUGUUAAACCUUUUGGUCAAAGUUCCUUGGAAAAGGACGUCAAAGAGGGUGAUAACCCCGUGUGUGACCAAAUGACAUACCAGUUUAAUGCGCUUAUGGUGCGUCUCCUUAGAGUCGGAAUGUUUGGGAUUGCAUUCCAAAGUGGGUGGUAAACUCCAUCUAAGGCUAAAUACUGGCGAGAGACCGAUAGCGAACAAGUACCGUGAGGGAAAGUUGAAAAGCACUCUGGAGAGAGAGUCAAACAGUACGUGAAAUUGCUAGCAAGGAAACGUUGGGCACCAGUACACGGCAAUUAAUGUUAAUGAUCAGCCAGGUGUGUUGUGAGAAUGUAGUGUGUUGCUUGCUUUAGAGACUAUCCUUGUGGUGGCUCCCAUAUUACAUAUCAAUCGAUGCACAGGUGCACUCUUUAACAGCCGGGUCAACAUCGGUUAAUGACGUUCGAAGAGUCGCGUAGCAAGGUACCUUUAAUUGACUUUGGUUAAUUAUCGGACUUAUAGGCUAUGUGUACGAGGAUGUCGUUGACCGAGGCGGCAUAGCGACUCGCGCGUUUCGGCGCAGGGCGUAUUAGUAGAGUCUUGGUUACCCGUGGUGCUAGGCAGCAUGCUGACUAGUAUUAUUUUGUUAGACUUUGGUUUGACAGUGGUAGUCGCUCUAUUAGUACAAGCCACUAGCGAGUCUAUGACGGUUGACGAAAUGGUUCUCAACGACCCGUCUUGAAACACGGACCAAGGAGUCUAACAUGUCUGCGAGUGUUUGGGUGGAAAACCCGAACGCGGAAUGAAAGUGAAGAGGCAAGUUUCGUACUUGCCCACUGGUAGGAGUCGUCUAACCUUGGUUGAAUGAUGCACUACCGACCGACCUGUUGCCCUCUGUGGUGGUAGGUUUGAGUUGGAGCAGUCCUGUUAGGACCCGAAAGAUGGUGAACUAUGCCUGAGCAGGAUGAAGCCAGAGGAAACUCUGGUGGAGGUCCGUAGCGGUUCUGACGUGCAAAUCGAUCGUCGGACUUGGGUAUAGGGGCGAAAGACUAAUCGAACCAUCUAGUAGCUGGUUCCUGC